Callithrix jacchus (white-tufted-ear marmoset) is the source of this 862-nucleotide non-coding RNA. NCBI's taxonomy places the organism in Eukaryota, Metazoa, Chordata, Mammalia, Primates, Cebidae. The record is from RefSeq and is a predicted model, not a curated record.
CACAUGGAGCGCGAAGAAGUCUCAUGAAAGUAGCAGCGGCUCACCUCCCCUGGCUAUAUUCAAAACGAGGAUUCAGCUCUACAAGCUCUCCCCACCCUGCCAGGAGCUAAGCAGACCAGCGCCUCCACCCAGGGCAACAAUACCAAGUGACUACCCCACCAAACUUUCAGAGGCCCCAAGAUGGCUCCCUGACCAGAGAAACAUACCCCUUUUGAUAAAGGAGCUGAUUCAAUUCAGGCAGAGCUGCAUAGAUGACAUCAGAAAAUGACUGAUAGUCUUGAUGCGGAAAUUGCACUUAUCAUACAGACAAAGUGUGAAGACAUACACUCAGGAUCAAGGUUCUGUCUGUACCAGAGUAUACAACUGACCUAGACCUCCCCACCCCCAAAAAUGAGGCAUCAGCGCAGGUUCGAGACAAGACUGGAACAGGAGAGUCAGCAGAGUCGGGGGCCAGGAAGACCGAUGGUUUGGGAUAAACAGUUCAGUGAACAUUGGGAGGAGAUGCUCUCCAGACACCAGGCCACAGCCUCCAUCUCCACUGGCAGGAGGGAGAGAGGGCUGCACCCUGAGAGGACCUAAGAAUGGCUCCACAUUGGAAAUUCAUGGCAAAUUGCUCCUAUAAUUUACUGGUCCGGCUGGAGAAAUGCAUCUUUGAAUUUCAGCGAGAGACUUUGAAAAUCUUUCUCAACCGAGGCUCUCCAACCCAACUGAGAUGAAUUAAAGGGAAUUAUGCACAUAAACCCCACAGAUCAAGGGGACACCCACUCUCCUUCAACUGCCUGCAAGGUGAUUAGACAGAGUUCAUAGCAGAACAGGCGCUCAGGCUGGAAAAAUAAAAGAAGAUAAAUUUGAAAUGCAGAGA